UUAGCCUUACCGGUGGAUCACUCGGUUCGUGGAUCGAUGAAGAACGCAGCUAACUGCGAUAAUUUAUGUGAACUGCAGAAAUCUUGAGCAUAAAAGUUUUGAACGCAUAUUGCGGCAUUGGGGUCAAACCCUUUGGCACGUCUGGUUCAGGGUCAUUUUCU
This 161-nucleotide ribosomal RNA is filed under the name Meloidogyne fallax. Its description in RNAcentral is "5.8S ribosomal RNA". It matches the Rfam family "5.8S ribosomal RNA". Rfam says of the family: 5.8S ribosomal RNA (5.8S rRNA) is a component of the large subunit of the eukaryotic ribosome. It is transcribed by RNA polymerase I as part of the 45S precursor that also contains 18S and 28S rRNA. Functionally, it is thought that 5.8S rRNA may be involved in ribosome translocation. Lineage: Eukaryota; Metazoa; Nematoda; Chromadorea; Rhabditida; Meloidogynidae. The record is from RNAcentral.